Malurus melanocephalus (red-backed fairy wren) is the source of this 551-nucleotide long non-coding RNA. RefSeq lists it as uncharacterized. The transcript is spliced from 2 exons. Lineage: Eukaryota; Metazoa; Chordata; Aves; Passeriformes; Maluridae. The record is from RefSeq and is a predicted model, not a curated record.
CACACAGCUUCCCACGAGCACGCCASCGGGCUCCUGCCACGCUGUGCCCCCGCUGACAGCGACAAUCGGGGCCCUCGGAGGGCGGCACACACCGCGGGGUGCGGGCGGGUGAAGUUACAGCUGAAAAAAAACCUGCUUCGAUCCCCAAAAUGGGCAGUGGAACGCUGCUCUCACCUCGCACAAGGUGCUCGGGAGCCGGCACGAGGCAGGGCAGGUUCYUUGGCUUUGCUCCCUGCUUCCAGACUUUCCCCAAGGCUCGCUGUCCUUUCCGGGCUGGGGCAGGACAUGUGUGGCCAGCUGGAGGGCCAGGGGGAACAAGCAGUACCYCUGGCAGGCGUCACAAAGCCGAAGAGGAUUAUUUAUGGAACAGAUUUUCUCCAGGUUGUGUUACAGGGGUGGGGGUGAACGGGGCAGACCCCAGCACUGGGCGAGUGGGAAGUUUGGGACAUCUCCCCACCCAAAAAAGCCCAGUGAGCUGAGGGGUCUGGCACUGGUAUAGCCAUGGUUUGGAAGAUGUCUUUUAUCUUUUAAAAAAGCUGCUCUGAUGCUUU